This 57-nucleotide microRNA precursor is filed under the name Microcaecilia unicolor. RNAcentral's name for it is "Mun-Mir-193-P1b_pre stem-loop". It matches the Rfam family "mir-193 microRNA precursor family", at positions 10 to 68 of the family's 76-position model. The record is from RNAcentral. Lineage: Eukaryota; Metazoa; Chordata; Amphibia; Gymnophiona; Siphonopidae.
UGGGUCUUUGCGGGCGAGAUGAGGGUCUUAUUUCCAACUGGCCUACAAAGUCCCAGU